AGAGUUUGAUCAUGGCUCAGAACGAACGCUGGCGGCGUGCCUAACACAUGCAAGUCGAGCGCGAACGGAGCGAUCCUAGUAGAGCGGCGCACGGGUGCGUAACACGUGGAUAAUCUGCCUCAGAGUUCGGGAUAACCUUCCGAAAGGUUGGCUAAUACCGAGUAAGCUCACAGGAUGUCCGCAUCUGGUGAGAAAAGGUGGCCUCUAUUUAUAUGCUAUCUCUCUGAGAUGAGUCCGCGGCCCAUCAGCUUGUUGGCGGGGUAAAAGCCCACCAAGGCUACGAAGGGUAGCUGGUCUGAGAGGACGAUCAGCCACACUGGAGCUGAGAGACGGUCCAGACUCCUACGGGAGGCAGCAGUGGGGAAUUUUGCACAAUGGGCGAAAGCCUGAUGCAGCAACGCCGCGUGUGUGAUGAAGGUCUUCGGAUCGUAAAGCACUUUCGACCGGGAAGAAUAAGCUGUCCCCAACACGGACGGCCCUGACGGUACCGGGAGAAGAAGCACCGGCUAACUCUGUGCCAGCAGCCGCGGUAAUAC
Molecule: ribosomal RNA, 536 nt
Filed under: uncultured bacterium
Lineage: Bacteria
Description: bacterial SSU rRNA
Rfam family: Bacterial small subunit ribosomal RNA
Source: RNAcentral